CUGCGAUAAACAUUCAUUGCUGUCGGUGGGUUUGAUGUGAAUAUAACUCACUGAUCAAUGAAUGAACACCGCGG
Salmo salar (Atlantic salmon) is the source of this 74-nucleotide non-coding RNA. The record is from Rfam. NCBI's taxonomy places the organism in Eukaryota, Metazoa, Chordata, Actinopteri, Salmoniformes, Salmonidae.